RNAcentral lists this ribosomal RNA (583 nucleotides) under Enterobacter cloacae. RNAcentral's name for it is "bacterial SSU rRNA". It matches the Rfam family "Bacterial small subunit ribosomal RNA", at positions 109 to 688 of the family's 1533-position model. Lineage: Bacteria; Pseudomonadati; Pseudomonadota; Gammaproteobacteria; Enterobacterales; Enterobacteriaceae. The record is from RNAcentral.
AGUAAUGUCUGGGAAACUGCCUGAUGGAGGGGGAUAACUACUGGAAACGGUAGCUAAUACCGCAUAACGUCGCAAGACCAAAGAGGGGGACCUUCGGGCCUCUUGCCAUCAGAUGUGCCCAGAUGGGAUUAGCUAGUAGGUGGGGUAACGGCUCACCUAGGCGACGAUCCCUAGCUGGUCUGAGAGGAUGACCAGCCACACUGGAACUGAGACACGGUCCAGACUCCUACGGGAGGCAGCAGUGGGGAAUAUUGCACAAUGGGCGCAAGCCUGAUGCAGCCAUGCCGCGUGUAUGAAGAAGGCCUUCGGGUUGUAAAGUACUUUCAGCGGGGAGGAAGGUGUUGUGGUUAAUAACCACAGCAAUUGACGUUACCCGCAGAAGAAGCACCGGCUAACUCCGUGCCAGCAGCCGCGGUAAUACGGAGGGUGCAAGCGUUAAUCGGAAUUACUGGGCGUAAAGCGCACGCAGGCGGUCUGUCAAGUCGGAUGUGAAAUCCCCGGGCUCAACCUGGGAACUGCAUUCGAAACUGGCAGGCUUGAGUCUUGUAGAGGGGGGUAGAAUUCCAGGUGUAGCGGUGAAAUG